CCUUGAGCCUGACUGUCAGGAGGUGCUGAGCCCAUCCAUCUCUCAUUGAUCUCAGCUGGCACUAGCCUGUGGGUAUCCAGCACCUCAGAAUGUCAGACCAAAUCCCCAGCUCCUGGAGUCAAGUGGAGAUGUGAUGCUAUCAGCCUUCAUCCUUAAAGAAAAAGGCCGUUUAUGGGGCUGAAGUUACAUGGACUACUCUUCCUAUGGUAUUUCUACCCAUACAGGAACUGAAAUGAGAUGACCACAUUAGAAGAUGAUGAGAGGACCACAUUAUUUCAGCCCUGUGAACUGCUCCGUGAAGCAUUACAAAAGCCAAGGGAAAAACAUAAACACAAAUACUAGACAUACGUGUGUCCUUGAGUCAGAUCUGCUCACAUUUCCUACUCCACAGGGAGAGCUGGCCUGUGCAUUUAGGGGAAAGCACGUUGGAUUCUAUUCUUUCUUGAGCACUACGAAAAUUGUCAACUAAUUCCUAAGGGUGAAAUUGUUACUGAUGAAGAUGACAAAAGACGCAGUCAGAGCCCAGCUGUCUGGUCCCAGGCAGAGUCCCAUCAAAACAAUAAUUUGCCUUGAAAAACUGGUGCAAUCUGAAAAAGACUGGGUCAGAUUCCCUGGUCCUUACUCAGUUCUGACUCAUGGACAAAACUCCCAUUGACUACAAAGGGCGGAAUAAGGAUUGUAGAAUCUGGCUCAUAGAGGGAAUAAACGCAAGAACCACACACUUGUCAUUUUUUACCUAGUCACUUUCCUAGCUCUAACCCCACACUAGAUGUUAGUGUGGCUAAGUGAUGACUCAUUUCAAACAUGAAGGGGGAAAAAAGAUUCAUCACAAGGGGAAAAUCUUUUAUAACCUGUCAGUAUGACUCUCAGAAUCCAAGCUUGCUUUGGGGAGUUAAUAAACAACACCCUUAGCUUUGGGUCUAACUUUAGUGUGCCUACAAAGUAUAUGUGAUACAUUUAAAACCAAUUGCACAGUGGGAGAUGUGGGGGGAAGUGUUUCCUCCCGUGAUUCAUCCUCUCCCAUCCUAGGGUCAAAUGCAAUGUGUCCAUUGUCUCUGUGGAGACGGGCAUUAACCCAGCUGAUCUCUAACAUCAGCGCUGAAACCUCUCUUAAAGCCAGGAGCUUCUCUGAAGGGGUAAUUAAAACUCAGAGGUGCACGUGCGCUGCUGAUUGGCCUGGAAAUCAGAUUGGGAUAAUGGGUUGAAUGAUUUAAAAAAAAAAUCCUAGCAAGAUUGACCAAUAAACAU
Mauremys mutica (yellowpond turtle) is the source of this 1248-nucleotide long non-coding RNA. RefSeq lists it as uncharacterized. Lineage: Eukaryota; Metazoa; Chordata; Testudines; Geoemydidae. The transcript has 3 exons. The record is from RefSeq and is a predicted model, not a curated record.